UAGAGUUUGAUCCUGGCUCAGACUGAACGCUGGCGGCAUGCCUUACACAUGCAAGUCGAACGGCAGCACGGGAGCAAUCCUGGUGGCGAGUGGCGAACGGGUGAGUAAUAUAUCGGAACGUGCCCAGUCGUGGGGGAUAACGCAGCGAAAGCUGUGCUAAUACCGCAUACGAUCUCUGGAUGAAAGCGGGGGACCUGCAAGGGCCUCGCGCGAUUGGAGCGGCCGAUAUCAGAUUAGCUAGUUGGUGGGGUAAAAGCUCACCAAGGCGACGAUCUGUAGCUGGUCUGAGAGGACGACCAGCCACACUGGAACUGAGACACGGUCCAGACUCCUACGGGAGGCAGCAGUGGGGAAUUUUGGACAAUGGGCGCAAGCCUGAUCCAGCAAUGCCGCGUGCAGGAUGAAGGCCUUCGGGUUGUAAACUGCUUUUGUACGGAACGAAAAGGCUCUUUUUAAUAAAGAGGGCUCAUGACGGUACCGUAAGAAUAAGCACCGGCUAACUACGUGCCAGCAGCCGCGGUAAUACGUAGGGUGCGAGCGUUAAUCGGAAUUACUGGGCGUAAAGCGUGCGCAGGCGGUUUUGUAAGACAGAUGUGAAAUCCCCGGGCUCAACCUGGGACCUGCAUUUGUGACUGCAAGGCUAGAGUACGGUAGAGGGGGAUGGAAUUCCGCGUGUAGCAGUGAAAUGCGU
This 691-nucleotide ribosomal RNA is filed under the name uncultured bacterium. Its description in RNAcentral is "SSU rRNA". It matches the Rfam family "Bacterial small subunit ribosomal RNA", at positions 1 to 691 of the family's 1533-position model. The record is from RNAcentral.